AGCUUUUCGAAUCCGUGUUGAGAUUUCGUAUGAUACAAACCCGUUAGGGCUGAUCAGACUUCCAAGAUAAGUAAAGUU
This 78-nucleotide microRNA precursor is filed under the name Schistosoma margrebowiei. RNAcentral describes it as "mir-3492 microRNA precursor family". It matches the Rfam family "mir-3492 microRNA precursor family". The record is from Rfam by way of RNAcentral. Lineage: Eukaryota; Metazoa; Platyhelminthes; Trematoda; Strigeidida; Schistosomatidae.